RNAcentral lists this small nucleolar RNA (73 nucleotides) under Kryptolebias marmoratus (mangrove rivulus). Its description in RNAcentral is "Small nucleolar RNA SNORD99 (ENSKMAG00000007380.1)". Lineage: Eukaryota; Metazoa; Chordata; Actinopteri; Cyprinodontiformes; Rivulidae. The record is from RNAcentral.
UCUGAUCCAUGAUGAGCUUCCAAACAAUGUGGACUGCUGGAUGAAGUUUGCGGAUAUGGGACUGAGAUCUUGU